Molecule: ribosomal RNA, 518 nt
Filed under: uncultured organism
Description: bacterial SSU rRNA
Rfam family: Bacterial small subunit ribosomal RNA
Source: RNAcentral
GUAGAACGCAAGCUUAGGGUAGAGUGGCGGACGGGUGGGUAACGCGUGAGAAUAUGCCUAGGGGUAGGGGACAACCACUGGAAACGGUGGCUAAUACCGGAUAAGCCUUUGGGUAAAAAAUUUAUUGCCCCAAGAGGAGCUCGCGUAUGAUUAGCUAGUUGGUGAGGUAAGAGCUCACCAAGGCAGCGAUCAGUAGCUGGUCUGAGAGGACGAUCAGCCACACUGGGACUGAGACACGGCCCAGACUCCUACGGGAGGCAGCAGUGGGGAAUUUUCCGCAAUGGGCGAAAGCCUGACGGAGCAAGACCGCGUAGAGCGGAGGAAGGCUCUUGGGUUGUAAACCUCUUUUCUCAGGGAAGAAGCUCUGACGGUACCCGAGGAAUACAGGCUCGGCUAACUACCGUGCCAGCAGCCGCGGUAAUACGGAGGAGGCAAGCGUUAUCCGGAAUUAUUGGGCGUAAAGCGUCCGCAGGUGGCGAUUCAAGUCUGCUGUAAAAGCACGGGGCUUAACUCCGUUA